This 74-nucleotide transfer RNA is filed under the name Candidatus Blochmanniella floridana. RNAcentral describes it as "tRNA-Arg (ACG) (tRNA-Arg-ACG-1-1)". It matches the Rfam family "tRNA". Rfam says of the family: Transfer RNA (tRNA) molecules are approximately 80 nucleotides in length. Their secondary structure includes four short double-helical elements and three loops (D, anti-codon, and T loops). Further hydrogen bonds mediate the characteristic L-shaped molecular structure. tRNAs have two regions of fundamental functional importance: the anti-codon, which is responsible for specific mRNA codon recognition, and the 3' end, to which the tRNAs corresponding amino acid is attached (by aminoacyl-tRNA synthetases). tRNAs cope with the degeneracy of the genetic code in two manners: having more than one tRNA (with a specific anti-codon) for a particular amino acid; and 'wobble' base-pairing, i.e. permitting non-standard base-pairing at the 3rd anti-codon position. Lineage: Bacteria; Pseudomonadati; Pseudomonadota; Gammaproteobacteria; Enterobacterales; Enterobacteriaceae. The record is from RNAcentral.
GCACCCGUAGCUCAGUUGGAUAGAGCACUCGGCUACGAACCGAGAGGUCGGGGGUUCAAAUCCUCUCGGGUGUA